This is a long non-coding RNA of Phascolarctos cinereus (koala), 1591 nucleotides long. The record is from Ensembl. NCBI's taxonomy places the organism in Eukaryota, Metazoa, Chordata, Mammalia, Diprotodontia, Phascolarctidae.
CUGCCACCGCUGCCGUCGCCACCGCGUACCUGGGCUCCGCGCCAGACUGACGAGACGAGAUCUCGCCCCGCACGGACGGACGGACGGACGGACGGAGCGGAGCGGACAGGGCUGGGCCCCAGGAAGCACUUGCAAUUCUGACAGUUGACAUUUUACCUGCCAGAAGCUCUAUAUGUGUGACCUUCCCCCCUCACGAACAAAGCACCUGCCUGGGGAGUCUGGGAGCUCGUGUGUAUCUGCAUAUUUGGGGCUGUCCAGUGCAACCUCUGGGAUUGGGGGUCUAAGUUUCCUGGUUUCCCAGUUUGAGAUCAGGGAGAUGCUGCUGAAGAAAGCAGUGCGUUGCAGAGGUGGAACAAUGAAUGAAACAGCCGGAGCGCCUCGUGCUUCGCUGCUGUAUUAUCAGCGGCAGAAUCUGCGCUGGCUCACCUCAUCAAUGAGAGACUGAAGCAAGAUGGACUUGGAGAUCAUGGUCUUUCACACUGGGAGCAGCAGAGGACAGCCGAGGACAGCAUACAGCCUGGAAGUACCAGUAUAGAACAAGAAAGCUCAUGCAGUCUGUGCCACCAAUUUCCUUAAUGUUCCCCCAGGCAAGUCAUGAAGUCUCCCUGGGCUCAAUUUUUCUCACUUUGAAAAUGAGUAGACUUUAUGCGCCACUCUUGUUUUUCAAGCUGAGAUGCUGUAGUUUUCUGAACAUCUGCUCUGCAUUGCUCUACUCUGGUGUUCUCUACAGGGUAAAUCACAGGCGGUGUUUUUUAUGAGGGGGAAGAGGAGAGAAAAAUUGGGAAUCAUAGGAACAUAGAUUAAGAACCUUAGGACCUUAGAAAUCUGCCUUCAUUUUAUAGUGAGGAAACAGAAAGAUUCAGAGAGUUUAAGUGAUUUGCCCAGGGUCGCACAGUAAGGCCUAACGCAGGAAUUAGACCAGGUUUUGCUGAUUCAGAAGUCCAGCUCUCUAUUGCCUCUUGAUUUAGUCAUAGAAUCAUAGAGCAUCAGGGUUGGAAGGAGUCUCAGAGAUGAGCAAACCCAGCCCAUGCCUGGCCAAUACUGUCUAUAAUAUCUGAUAAAGAGGUAAAGAACAUCAAGGAGCAGUGGAUUAGCAGAGUUGGUUGCUGUUACAUAGCAGCAUUGGGCUGGGGAACCCGUGACACCAAGGCCACAUCUGGCUGGCCCUGGAGAACAGAACUAGGAACAGAGUGUGGAAAUUGUCAUGAGGCCACUUUAGGCUGGAUAGCAGGAAGAACUUCCUAUCAUUGAGAGCUGACCAGAAAGAAAUGGGCUGCCUCUAGAGGGGGAUGAGUCCCCUCUCCUCUAAGGGCUCUGAGCAGAGCUUUGGUGGCUACCUGCUGGGUAAAUCAUAGUGGGGAUCCAUUUGGGGGUACAUGUUGUACUAGAUGGGCACUGAGGUCCCUUCCAAUUCUAGAAUUUUCUGACUCUGUAAAAUUGAGGCAUAAUUCCAAAGCACUGGCUUUUGGAGUGAAAAAAAAAAGAUUUGAAAUCUCACUUUUGUCAUUUAAUAGCUGUAUGACCUUGGACUUACCCUCCCGAGGGCUCAGUUUCCUUAUGUGUAAAAUAAAGAAGUUGGACUCGGUGACCA